ACGAACGCUGGCGGCGUGCCUAAUACAUGCAAGUCGAACGCUUCUCUUCCCACCGGAGCUUGCUCCACCGGGAAAAGAGGAGUGGCGAACGGGUGAGUAACACGUGGGUAACCUGCCCAUCAGAAGGGGAUAACACUUGGAAACAGGUGCUAAUACCGUAUAACAAUCGAAACCGCAUGGUUUCGUUUUGAAAGGCGCUUUACGGUGCCGCUGAUGGAUGGACCCGCGGUGCAUUAGCUAGUUGGUGAGGUAACGGCUCACCAAGGCCACGAUGCAUAGCCGACCUGAGAGGGUGAUCGGCCACAUUGGGACUGAGACACGGCCCAAACUCCUACGGGAGGCAGCAGUAGGGAAUCUUCGGCAAUGGACGAAAGUCUGACCGAGCAACGCCGCGUGAGUGAAGAAGGUUUUCGGAUCGUAAAACUCUGUUGUUAGAGAAGAACAAGGGUGAGAGUAACUGUUCACCCCUUGACGGUAUCUAACCAGAAAGCCACGGCUAACUACGUGCCAGCAGCCGCGGUAAUACGUAGGUGGCAAGCGUUGUCCGGAUUUAUUCGGCGUAAAGCGAGCGCAGGCGGUUUCUUAAGUCUGAUGUGAAAGCCCCCGGCUCAACCGGGGAGGGUCAUUGGAAACUGGGAGACUUGAGUGCAGAAGAGGAGAGUGGAAUUCCAUGUGUAGCGGUGAAAUGCGUAGAUAUAUGGAGGAACACCAGUGGCGAAGGCGGCUCUCUGGUCUGUAACUGACGCUGAGGCUCGAAAGCGUGGGGAGCAAACAGGAUUAGAUACCCUGGUAGUCCACGCCGUAAACGAUGAGUGCUAAGUGUUGGAGGGUUUCCGCCCUUCAGUGCUGCAGCUAACGCAUUAAGCACUCCGCCUGGGGAGUACGACCGCAAGGUUGAAACUCAAAGGAAUUGACGGGGGCCCGCACAAGCGGUGGAGCAUGUGGUUUAAUUCGAAGCAACGCGAAGAACCUUACCAGGUCUUGACAUCCUUUGACCACUCUAGAGAUAGAGCUUCCCCUUCGGGGGCAAAGUGACAGGUGGUGCAUGGUUGUCGUCAGCUCGUGUCGUGAGAUGUUGGGUUAAGUCCCGCAACGAGCGCAACCCUUAUUGUUAGUUGCCAUCAUUUAGUUGGGCACUCUAGCAAGACUGCCGGUGACAAACCGCAGGAAGGUGGGGAUGACGUCAAAUCAUCAUGCCCCUUAUGACCUGGGCUACACACGUGCUACAAUGGGAAGUACAACGAGUCGCGAAGUCGCGAGGCUAAGCUAAUCUCUUAAAGCUUCUCUCAGUUCGGAUUGUAGGCUGCAACUCGCCUACAUGAAGCCGGAAUCGCUAGUAAUCGCGGAUCAGCACGCCGCGGUGAAUACGUUCCCGGGCCUUGUACACACCGCCCGUCACACCACGAGAGUUUGUAACACCCGAAGUCGGUGAGGUAACCUUUUUGGAGCCAGCCGCCUAAGGUGGGAUAGAUGAUUGGGGUGAAGUCGUAACAAGGUAGCCGUAUCGGAAGGUGCGGCUGGAUCACCUC
RNAcentral lists this ribosomal RNA (1529 nucleotides) under Enterococcus mundtii. RNAcentral describes it as "bacterial SSU rRNA". It matches the Rfam family "Bacterial small subunit ribosomal RNA". The record is from RNAcentral. Lineage: Bacteria; Bacillati; Bacillota; Bacilli; Lactobacillales; Enterococcaceae.